RNAcentral lists this long non-coding RNA (233 nucleotides) under Capsicum annuum. RNAcentral's name for it is "long non-coding RNA (CANN_LNC008907)". The record is from RNAcentral. Lineage: Eukaryota; Viridiplantae; Streptophyta; Magnoliopsida; Solanales; Solanaceae.
AGAACAUCCUUGACCUUUGCAUCUCGAUCUUGUGCAGCAUCUUCUUGAAAGUUACAAUUGGAGAAGAUUUGGUGAAUAAAUCAGUUACAUUGUCAGUUGAACGAAUCUAUUGCACAUUAAUAUCAUCAUUCUUUUGUAGCUCAUGUAUGUAGAAAAGCUUUGGCAAAAUGUGCUUCGUUCUAUCUCCAUUUAUGAAUCCUCCCUUAAGAUGUGCUAUGUAUGCUGAAUUAUCU